AAAUAAGAAUCAAAUAUCUCGUUAGUUGAAACAGCUAACAUUUCAAAAAUAAUCAUUGCAUCAGUGAAACAAAUUAAUAAAACGUGUUAAUCAAUUUGACGUAACAAAAUAACUGGCUUUAUAAUUAACCAGUUAUACCUAUAUUGCAUUAUUGAAGUGCAAGACAAAUUAAAGAUAAGAAGAUGUGGUAUGAUAGUCAAUGAGUCAACUAUGAACCAAAAAACAAAUUGAGUAAAUGUAAGCAUCUAGAGGUCACUGUAUGGCCUUAAAAAUGGGCAAAACCCAUAUUGUAUAGUAAACAUGAACAACAGUCUUACCCAAAAGGAUAUUUCCCUGAACAAUUGUUCGCCUCUAAUUCUCUAUAGUUUUUAGAUGGAUUUCUUUAAUAAUACUUUUUAAUUUACUUUUCUGGGAUUUCAUUAUAUAUUUGACAUUCAAGUAUGAAAUGGUAUUCAUCUUCAAUAGCGUUAGUGUUACACUUAGUACAUAGUCUAUUAUUUUAUCAACAUUAUAACAUCUGCUUGUUUCUAUACUUGAAUUAUGAGCUGAUAUAUGAUAUAUUUACAAAUAUAUAGUGUGUAUGUAUAUAUAGUUUACAGGUCUAUCUAAAUAAAAUU
RNAcentral lists this long non-coding RNA (617 nucleotides) under Mytilus galloprovincialis (Mediterranean mussel). Lineage: Eukaryota; Metazoa; Mollusca; Bivalvia; Mytilida; Mytilidae. The record is from RNAcentral.